AGAAUAAUUAAGUAGCGGGGUGACGGCGUACCUUUUGUAUAAUGGGUCAGCGACUUAUAUUCUGUAGCAAGGUUAACCGAAU
This 82-nucleotide ribosomal RNA is filed under the name Salmonella enterica subsp. enterica serovar Enteritidis. Its description in RNAcentral is "partial 23S ribosomal RNA". Lineage: Bacteria; Pseudomonadati; Pseudomonadota; Gammaproteobacteria; Enterobacterales; Enterobacteriaceae. The record is from RNAcentral.